This 271-nucleotide ribosomal RNA is filed under the name uncultured bacterium. RNAcentral describes it as "partial 16S ribosomal RNA". It matches the Rfam family "Bacterial small subunit ribosomal RNA", at positions 524 to 794 of the family's 1533-position model. The record is from RNAcentral.
UACGUAGGGGGCAAGCGUUGUCCGGAAUCAUUGGGCGUAAAGAGCGUGUAGGCGGCCCGGUAAGUCCGUUGUGAAAGUCGAGGGCUCAACCCUCGAAUGCCGGCGGAUACUGUCGGGCUAGAGUCCGGAAGAGGCGAGUGGAAUUCCUGGUGUAGCGGUGAAAUGCGCAGAUAUCAGGAGGAACACCAAUGGCGAAGGCAGCUCGCUGGGACGGUACUGACGCUGAGACGCGAAAGCGUGGGGAGCAAACAGGAUUAGAUACCCUGGUAGU